This 509-nucleotide ribosomal RNA is filed under the name uncultured bacterium. RNAcentral describes it as "bacterial SSU rRNA". It matches the Rfam family "Bacterial small subunit ribosomal RNA", at positions 15 to 518 of the family's 1533-position model. The record is from RNAcentral.
GAUCAUGGUCAGGAUGAACGCUAGCGGCAGGCUUAACACAUGCAAGUCGAGGGGCAACGCGAGUAGCAAUACUUGGCGGCGACCGGCGCAAGGGUGCGUAACGCGUGAGCAACAUGCCCGUAUCAGGGGGAUAAUCCAGGGAAACUUGGUCUAAUACCCCAUAGUAAUUUUGUAAGGCAUCUUAUAAGAUUUAAAGCUUUGGUGGAUACGGAUUGGCUCGCGUGACAUUAGCUGGAUGGUAAGGUAACGGCUUACCAUGGCUAUGAUGUCUAGGGGUUCUGAGAGGAAGGUCCCCCACACUGGAACUGAGACACGGUCCAGACUCCUACGGGAGGCAGCAGUGAGGAAUAUUGGACAAUGGAUGGAAAUCUGAUCCAGCCAUGCCGCGUGAAAAGGAAGAAGGUCCUAUGGAUUGUAAACUUCUUUUGUAUGGGAGCAAUAAGGCCUACGAGUAGGUUGAUGAGAGUACCAUACGAAUAAGCACCGGCUAACUCCGUGCCAGCCGCCGC